AUACUUACCUGGCAGGGGAGAUACCAUGAUCACAAAGGUGGUUUUUCCAGGGUGAGGCUUAUCCAUUACACUCCGAAUAUGCUGACCCCUGCAAUUUCCCCAAAUGUGGGAAACUUGACUGCAUAAUUUGUGGUAGUGGGAUGAUGUGUUUGCACUCUUAUCUGU
This 165-nucleotide small nuclear RNA is filed under the name Carlito syrichta (Philippine tarsier). RNAcentral's name for it is "U1 spliceosomal RNA (ENSTSYG00000025821.1)". It matches the Rfam family "U1 spliceosomal RNA". Rfam says of the family: U1 is a small nuclear RNA (snRNA) component of the spliceosome (involved in pre-mRNA splicing). Its 5' end forms complementary base pairs with the 5' splice junction, thus defining the 5' donor site of an intron. There are significant differences in sequence and secondary structure between metazoan and yeast U1 snRNAs, the latter being much longer (568 nucleotides as compared to 164 nucleotides in human). The record is from RNAcentral. Lineage: Eukaryota; Metazoa; Chordata; Mammalia; Primates; Tarsiidae.